AUAUAUGUGUGUGUGUGCAUAUAUGUGUGUGUGUGGAUGUAUAUACAUAUAUACACACACGCACACAUACAUACACAUACACACACACACACA
This 93-nucleotide microRNA precursor is filed under the name Chlorocebus sabaeus (green monkey). Its description in RNAcentral is "miRNA (ENSCSAG00000024974.1)". The record is from RNAcentral. Lineage: Eukaryota; Metazoa; Chordata; Mammalia; Primates; Cercopithecidae.